CCUACGGGAGGCUGCAGUGGGGAAUAUUGCACAAUGGGCGCAAGCCUGAUGCAGCCAUGCCGCGUGUGUGAAGAAGGCCUUCGGGUUGUAAAGCACUUUCAGCGGGGAGGAAGGCGGUGAGGUUAAUAACCUCAUCGAUUGACGUUACCCGCAGAAGAAGCACCGGCUAACUCCGUGCCAGCAGCCGCGGUAAUACGGAGGGUGCAAGCGUUAAUCGGAAUUACUGGGCGUAAAGCGCACGCAGGCGGUCUGUCAAGUCGGAUGUGAAAUCCCCGGGCUCAACCUGGGAACUGCAUUCGAAACUGGCAGGCUAGAGUCUUGUAGAGGGGGGUAGAAUUCCAGGUGUGGCGGUGAAAUGCGUAGAGAUCUGGAGGAAUACCGGUGGCGAAGGCGGCCCCCUGGACAAAGACUGACGCUCAGGUGCGAAAGCGUGGGGAGCAAACAGGAUUAGAUACCCCGGUAGUC
RNAcentral lists this ribosomal RNA (465 nucleotides) under uncultured Klebsiella sp. Its description in RNAcentral is "bacterial SSU rRNA". It matches the Rfam family "Bacterial small subunit ribosomal RNA", at positions 338 to 795 of the family's 1533-position model. The record is from RNAcentral. Lineage: Bacteria; Pseudomonadati; Pseudomonadota; Gammaproteobacteria; Enterobacterales; Enterobacteriaceae.